This 860-nucleotide ribosomal RNA is filed under the name uncultured Chloroflexota bacterium. RNAcentral describes it as "bacterial SSU rRNA". It matches the Rfam family "Bacterial small subunit ribosomal RNA", at positions 512 to 1385 of the family's 1533-position model. Lineage: Bacteria; Bacillati; Chloroflexota. The record is from RNAcentral.
CCGCCGCGGUAAGACGUAGGACGCGAGCGUUAUCCGGAUUUACUGGGCGUAAAGCGCCUGCAGGCGGUCAGGUAAGUCGGUUGUGAAAGCCCCGUGCUCAACGCGGGGAGGCCAAGCGAUACUGCGUGACUUGAGGGCGGAAGAGGGGAGUGGAAUUCCCGGUGUAGCGGUAAAAUGCGCAGAUAUCGGGAGGAACACCAGUGGCGAAGGCGGCUCCCUGGACCGCACCUGACGCUCAGAGGCGAAAGCUAGGGGAGCGAACAGGAUUAGAGACCCUGGUAGUCCUAGCCCUAAACGCUGGAUGCUAGGUGUAGGGCUGAUGAGGCUCUGUGCCGGAGCGAACGCGAUAAGCAUCCCGCCUGGGAACUACGGCCGCAAGGCUAAAACUCAAACGAAUUGACGGGGACCCGCACAAGCAGCGGAGCGUGUGGUUUAAUUCGAUGCUACACGAAGAACCUUACCUGGGUUUGACAUGCUGGUGGUACCGAACCGAAAGGGGAGGGACCCUUCGGGGAGCCAACACAGGUGCUGCAUGGCUGUCGUCAGCUCGUGCCGUGAGGUGUCGGGUUAAGUCCCGUAACGAGCGCAACCCUUGCUCUUAGUUAUACGUGUCUAAGGGGACUGCCGGCGACAAGCCGGAGGAAGGUGGGGAUGACGUCAAGUCAGCAUGGCCUUGAUAUCCAGGGCUACACACACGCUACAAUGGCCGGUACAAAGGGCAGCCAAGCCGCGAGGUGGAGCGAAUCCCAGCAAAGCCGGUCCCAGUUCGGAUUGCAGGCUGCAACCCGCCUGCAUGAAGUUGGAGUUGCUAGUAACCGCGCGUCAGCCAUAGUGCGGUGAAUACGUACCCGGGUCUUGUA